This 1071-nucleotide ribosomal RNA is filed under the name Staphylococcus aureus. RNAcentral describes it as "partial 23S ribosomal RNA". It matches the Rfam family "Bacterial large subunit ribosomal RNA", at positions 607 to 1679 of the family's 2925-position model. The record is from RNAcentral. Lineage: Bacteria; Bacillati; Bacillota; Bacilli; Caryophanales; Staphylococcaceae.
UUUGUAGAAUGAACCGGCGAGUUACGAUUUGAUGCAAGGUUAAGCAGUAAAUGUGGAGCCGUAGCGAAAGCGAGUCUGAAUAGGGCGUUUAGUAUUUGGUCGUAGACCCGAAACCAGGUGAUCUACCCUUGGUCAGGUUGAAGUUCAGGUAACACUGAAUGGAGGACCGAACCGACUUACGUUGAAAAGUGAGCGGAUGAACUGAGGGUAGCGGAGAAAUUCCAAUCGAACCUGGAGAUAGCUGGUUCUCUCCGAAAUAGCUUUAGGGCUAGCCUCAAGUGAUGAUUAUUGGAGGUAGAGCACUGUUUGGACGAGGGGCCCCUCUCGGGUUACCGAAUUCAGACAAACUCCGAAUGCCAAUUAAUUUAACUUGGGAGUCAGAACAUGGGUGAUAAGGUCCGUGUUCGAAAGGGAAACAGCCCAGACCACCAGCUAAGGUCCCAAAAUAUAUGUUAAGUGGAAAAGGAUGUGGCGUUGCCCAGACAACUAGGAUGUUGGCUUAGAAGCAGCCAUCAUUUAAAGAGUGCGUAAUAGCUCACUAGUCGAGUGACACUGCGCCGAAAAUGUACCGGGGCUAAACAUAUUACCGAAGCUGUGGAUUGUCCUUUGGACAAUGGUAGGAGAGCGUUCUAAGGGCGUUGAAGCAUGAUCGUAAGGACAUGUGGAGCGCUUAGAAGUGAGAAUGCCGGUGUGAGUAGCGAAAGACGGGUGAGAAUCCCGUCCACCGAUUGACUAAGGUUUCCAGAGGAAGGCUCGUCCGCUCUGGGUUAGUCGGGUCCUAAGCUGAGGCCGACAGGCGUAGGCGAUGGAUAACAGGUUGAUAUUCCUGUACCACCUAUAAUCGUUUUAAUCGAUGGGGGGACGCAGUAGGAUAGGCGAAGCGUGCGAUUGGAUUGCACGUCUAAGCAGUAAGGCUGAGUAUUAGGCAAAUCCGGUACUCGUUAAGGCUGAGCUGUGAUGGGGAGAAGACAUUGUGUCUUCGAGUCGUUGAUUUCACACUGCCGAGAAAAGCCUCUAGAUAGAAAAUAGGUGCCCGUACCGCAAACCGACACAGGUAGUCAAGAUGAGAAU